This 449-nucleotide ribosomal RNA is filed under the name uncultured bacterium. RNAcentral describes it as "bacterial SSU rRNA". It matches the Rfam family "Bacterial small subunit ribosomal RNA", at positions 330 to 794 of the family's 1533-position model. The record is from RNAcentral.
ACCAGACUCCUACGGGAGGCAGCAGUGGGGAAUAUUGGGCAAUGGGCGCAAGCCUGACCCAGCAAUGCCGCGUGAAGGAAGAAGGCUUUCGGGUUGUAAACUUCUUUGACAGGGGAAGAGCAGAAGACGGUACCCUGAAAACAAGCCACGGCUAACUACGUGCCAGCAGCCGCGGUAAUACGUAGGUGGCAAGCGUUGUCCGGAUUUACUGGGUGUAAAGGGCGUGUAGCCGGGAAGGCAAGUCUGGAGUGAAAGGCAGGGGCCCAACCCCUGGACUGCUCUGGAAACUGUUGUACUUGAGUGCAGGAGAGGUAAGUGGAAUUCCUAGUGUAGCGGUGAAAUGCGUAGAUAUUAGGAGGAACACCAGUGGCGAAGGCGGCUUACUGGACUGUAACUGACGUUGAGGCUCGAAAGCGUGGGGAGCAAACAGGAUUAGAUACCCGAGUAGA